GAUUAUGACGUACUUGUACUGAUUGAGAUUUUAACACGAAGUGAGUGGCGAACGGGUGAGUAACACGUGGGUAACCUGCCCAGAAGUAGGGGAUAACACCUGGAAACAGAUGCUAAUACCGUAUAACAGAGAAAACCGCAUGGUUUUCUUUUAAAAGAUGGCUCUGCUAUCACUUCUGGAUGGACCCGCGGCGUAUUAGCUAGUUGGUGAGGUAAAGGCUCACCAAGGCAGUGAUACGUAGCCGACCUGAGAGGGUAAUCGGCCACAUUGGGACUGAGACACGGCCCAGACUCCUACGGGAGGCAGCAGUAGGGAAUCUUCCACAAUGGACGCAAGUCUGAUGGAGCAACGCCGCGUGAGUGAAGAAGGGUUUCGGCUCGUAAAGCUCUGUUGUUAAAGAAGAACGUGGGUAAGAGUAACUGUUUACCCAGUGACGGUAUUUAACCAGAAAGCCACGGCUAACUACGUGCCAGCAGCCGCGGUAAUACGUAGGUGGCAAGCGUUAUCCGGAUUUAUUGGGCGUAAAGCGAGCGCAGGCGGUCUUUUAAGUCUAAUGUGAAAGCCUUCGGCUCAACCGAAGAAGUGCAUUGGAAACUGGGAGACUUGAGUGCAGAAGAGGACAGUGGAACUCCUGGGUGAAGGC
Molecule: ribosomal RNA, 643 nt
Filed under: Pediococcus pentosaceus
Lineage: Bacteria; Bacillati; Bacillota; Bacilli; Lactobacillales; Lactobacillaceae
Description: bacterial SSU rRNA
Rfam family: Bacterial small subunit ribosomal RNA
Source: RNAcentral